RNAcentral lists this RNase MRP RNA (258 nucleotides) under Fundulus heteroclitus (mummichog). Its description in RNAcentral is "RNase MRP (ENSFHEG00000015897.1)". It matches the Rfam family "RNase MRP". From Rfam's summary of the family: RNase MRP is an enzymatically active ribonucleoprotein with two distinct roles in eukaryotes. In mitochondria it plays a direct role in the initiation of mitochondrial DNA replication. In the nucleus it is involved in precursor rRNA processing, where it cleaves the internal transcribed spacer 1 between 18S and 5.8S rRNAs. Lineage: Eukaryota; Metazoa; Chordata; Actinopteri; Cyprinodontiformes; Fundulidae. The record is from RNAcentral.
GGGCAUUCAGAAGGUUUGCAGUCUGGGCUACGUACAGAGAACCUAGUUUCUCAUCAAUUUGCCCAGGGGAAAGUCCCCGGACCCGUGGCAGAAAGUGCUCUGGAUUAAUCCAGUGUUGACUUGUGCAGCUCCAUCUGUAGCUGAGACGUUCAUGUGAACAGAGCUUGGAGGUCGCAUGUUGACUUUGUCAGCGUUGAUAGAAAUGCAAACACUCUGCAAGUUACGUUUCAACAGAACGGGGCUCAUUCUCCGAAUGCA